Sus scrofa (pig) is the source of this 2637-nucleotide non-coding RNA. NCBI's taxonomy places the organism in Eukaryota, Metazoa, Chordata, Mammalia, Artiodactyla, Suidae. The record is from RefSeq and is a predicted model, not a curated record.
CCCUCCACUGCGGCAGCACGCAGGCUGCUUGGAGAGGUGACAAAAAAUUAAAAUUAAAGCUAAAUUAAAAGGAAGAUUCCCAUUUCCUCUCCCCAUCACACUUUCCACCUUAAUUUUAUCGCAUCUUCCCUCUCGUUUUAUUGACUUUUAGAAGCAUUGCCACAAGAUUUAGUGUGGAGCGGGAGGGGAGGUAAUAAAUGCGGUGCUGCUCUUGCCUCCAAUUAAUGCCGCCAGGGGGUGCGGGGAGGAGGGAGGGGAGGGGGAGGGCCGCCCCUGGGCGUGAAGCCCCCAGGAAGCUCCAGGAGCGCCCAGGUCCGGGAGACAACUGAAGCGACGCUGCGUGUUUGUAAUUUUCUUCUGACCCUAAUGGCUCCAGUUUCCCCUCAGUAUUUAAGCAGAACAAGACAGAGGCCGCUCCCCUUCUGGGCUUUGUAGGCCAGUGGUCCUCCCGCUGGGGUCCCCGGGCCAGCAGCAUCAGCGUCUCCAGGGAACUUGGUAUAGAUUCGCACUCUCCAGCUACCCCAGACCUACUGAAUCAGAAACUGGGGGUUGGCUCCAGCAAUCCGUGUUUUUUAAAAACAACUUUUAUUGAGGUAUAAUUCACAUACCAUAAAAUUCACCCUUUUAAAGCAUGCUAUUCAACGAUUUUUUAGUAAAUUUAUCGAGUUGUGCAACCAUCACCACAACCAAGUUAUGGAACAUUUCUAUCACCCCAAUAAGAUUCCUGAUGUCUGUUUACAGUGAAUCUUCUCCCCACCCCCACCCCCCAGCCCUAGGCAAUCACUAAUCUACUUUCUGUCUGUAUAGAUUUGCUUGUUCUGGAUGAUUUUUUGAGUCUAGCUUCUUUUACUUACCAUAAUGUUUUGUUUUGUUAACGGCUUUAUUGAGAUAUAAUUCACAUAUCAUACAGUCUACCCAUUUAAAGUGUACUCUUCGGUGGCUUUUAAUAUAUUCACUGAGUUGUGCAACCAUCACCACAAUGGCUUUUAGAACAUUUUCAUUACCCCCCAAAGAAACCCUGUACCCCUUAGCUGUCAUUUCCAAAUUCCCUUAUCCCCCCAACCCUAGACAACUACUGAUCUACUUUCUGUGUCUAAUAGAUUUGCCUCUUCUGGACAUUUCAUAUAAUGGACUCAUAUAAAUCUGGUCCUUUGUGAUUAGCUUUCCUUCCUUUCUUCUUUCUUUUUUGGCUGCAUCCCUGGUAUGCAGAAGUUGCCAGGUGAGAGAUUGAACCCAAGCCACAGCAGUGACAACACCGGAUCCUUAACCCCCAGUGCCACCAGGGAACUCCAGUGAUUGGCUUCUUUCACUUAGCAUAAUGUUUUCGAGGUUCGUCCAUGUCGUAGCAAUGUCAAAGAAGUUCAGUCCUUUUUCAUUGCUGAAUAGUAUUCCAUGGUGUGGCUAUGCCACAUUUUGUUUAUCCAUUUACCACUUGAUGGACAUUUGUGUUGUUUCCACUCUUUGGCUCUCAUAAUAGUGCUAUGAAAAUUCUGUCCAUGAGAUUCUGUGUGCAUGAACAUAAGAAAUCCCUAUUUGAAUCUGAUCGUGCUAAACUUGAGGACAGCUGGGCUAGGCUUCAUCCCUCACUGCUCUUUAGAUCUUUCCUUUGGUUUCCAUCUUCCCACAUCAAAUCCCCUGUGUCCAGUCUCUUCCUUCUUUCACCCCUUGAACAAACAUAGACACAGCAUUUACUGUGUGUGUCCCGUCCAGGUUAGGGUGGGCGCAGGGCUAACCGGAGGUCAGAGUCCUGGUGCUUCUCACCCUCCUUCCCCCCUUCCUGGAGAGCAGGCCUCAGACUCCCAUGCAAGUCACUCAGCGAAAAGCCCCUUCGGGGCCCCAGCUCAGUCCAUCCACCCAACCCAAACUACGUGGGAAUCUGCCCCUUCCCAGCUCCCCAGAUGAACAAGCAGGCUUACAAGCCCAGUAGCUUCAGAGUCUCCCACAUCUGCUUCUAAACUACUUGAGGAAGCUGAUUGUGGACAUUUCCUUUAGCUUUUGCUGCCUCCACCCUCUCAGCUCCUAAAGUGGGUGCAUUGCUGGCCCUUGGGGGUCCUCUCAGCAGCAACUGGGAGGUGCAGAUCUGCCCCAUCUCUACUGAUAAGGGCUCCCAGUAGGCCACUUGGUCACCUUUAGAUCCGUCUACAUCCCCCUUGUCACUGGCUCCUCACCUGACCUGCCUUCCCUCACGGAAACCCACUGCCACCUCCCUGCCUGCCUUUGUGUCCGCGGCCAGCCUCCGAUACUGUCCUGUCCCAGAACAGGACCCAGAGCGCGCUCGGCUUCCCUUCCUGCCCUUCCCAGUGUUGGCUACCCAGUUCCAGGAGGACCAGGCCUGGGGCGCCUUAGGCGGAGGGCUCUCCACAGCAAUCUGAAAAUGCAUAUCAGAAAUCUGAAAAUGUCUUUUGGAGCCUCCGGAUGUAACCGGCCUAGAGCAGGGCCUGGAUACUCCCGCUCCCAGGCGUUUCAGCAGGCCCCGCGCGAUGCCCAGACUCCCUCCCCAAAAGUAAGACUGUCCUGCGGUGUGAACCGAGUCCGUGUCCAGUACGCCUGGGACUGCGUCCCUUGGGGCGCCCGCCCCAGCCCCCUCCGCCUCCAUCGAAGCGCUCUGCUGCUGGGGAGCCUUGCCUCUCCCCUCCU